Small nucleolar RNA from Cynocephalus volans (Philippine flying lemur), 105 nucleotides. RefSeq annotates it as small nucleolar RNA U13. Lineage: Eukaryota; Metazoa; Chordata; Mammalia; Dermoptera; Cynocephalidae. The transcript has a single exon. The record is from RefSeq and is a predicted model, not a curated record.
AUCAUUGUUUUGGAUCAUAAGCAUGAUGAGUGGGUUUUCACGCUAUUGCGUGAGAUGUACCUCACUCAAACCUUGGCACUAUGUUGUCACAGUACCUGUCUGACG